GACGGAGGGUGCAAGCGUUGUUCGGAAUUACUGGGCGUAAAGCGCGGGUAGGUGGCCUUUUAAGUCCUUUGUGAAAUUCCGGAGCUCAACUCCGGACAUGCAUAGGAUACUGGAAGGCUAGAGACUGGUAGAGGCGAGCGGAAUUCCUGGUGUAGCGGUGAAAUGCGUAGAUAUCUGGAGGAACACCGGUGGCGAAGGCGGCGUCCUGGACCAACACUGACACUGAUGAGCGAAAGCCAGGGGAGCAAACGGG
RNAcentral lists this ribosomal RNA (253 nucleotides) under uncultured bacterium. RNAcentral describes it as "partial 16S ribosomal RNA". It matches the Rfam family "Bacterial small subunit ribosomal RNA", at positions 524 to 776 of the family's 1533-position model. The record is from RNAcentral.